GGGCGCGUAGCUCAGCCUGGUAGAGCACGUCGUUCGCAACGACGGGGCCCCGAGUUCAAAUCUCGGCGCGUCCA
RNAcentral lists this transfer RNA (74 nucleotides) under Candidatus Woesearchaeota archaeon. RNAcentral describes it as "tRNA-Ala". It matches the Rfam family "tRNA". From Rfam's summary of the family: Transfer RNA (tRNA) molecules are approximately 80 nucleotides in length. Their secondary structure includes four short double-helical elements and three loops (D, anti-codon, and T loops). The record is from RNAcentral. Lineage: Archaea; Nanobdellati; Candidatus Woesearchaeota.